GUAAAUUUCACCAGAACUGGUAAAUUUCUGCAAGAUGUGUUUUUAAACAAGAAGUGGCCCUAUUCUCCACCAGUAUUGCAGAUAUGUAGUAAAUUUCCAACAGAGUAGGAUGGAUGAGAAACCAGACGUGCUUGCAACUACAUUAUUUUGUUUUUCUAUCAGGCUUGACCAGGAAAAGCAGCCUAGCCCAACUUGGUGGUUGCCUGCAGGGACAGCAUCUUCAAAGACAGUCGACCUUUUUUAACUUCUUACAGAGGAGAAAAGCC
RNAcentral lists this long non-coding RNA (266 nucleotides) under Corvus moneduloides (New Caledonian crow). RNAcentral's name for it is "lncRNA (ENSCMUG00000019745.1)". The record is from RNAcentral. Lineage: Eukaryota; Metazoa; Chordata; Aves; Passeriformes; Corvidae.